RNAcentral lists this long non-coding RNA (392 nucleotides) under Nicotiana benthamiana. Its description in RNAcentral is "long non-coding RNA (NBEN_LNC036331)". The record is from RNAcentral. Lineage: Eukaryota; Viridiplantae; Streptophyta; Magnoliopsida; Solanales; Solanaceae.
GCUUCCAUAUCAUCAAGAUCCAUGACCCUUCUGUGGGUGAUGGCUUGUCCUUAAGAGUAAUGAAAAGAUCUCUAUUUGGGGUAUCCCAGAAAUUUAGGCUAGACUCGAGUGAGGCAAAGAAAUCAAUCUUUGAUUUCUUUUGGGUGGAUGAAAUAGGAGGAUCUUCCAAGGGUCGUUUUCCUAAAGCUUUUCACCUAGAUGUUGGGAAUGUUCAGAGAAAUCACCUUGAGAUGAGGCGAAGCCUUCAAAGUGAUCAGACCCUAGGUCUACUUGGUCAGGAAGCACAUAAGGCGUUUUGACUUGGAGCGGGUACUUUUUCUGGUGGAGGCAAAGGGAUUUUUGGAGUGUUUCAUCAUUGAAGAAGAGGGGAUUUGCUAGAGGUUUUGGAGAGG